This 835-nucleotide ribosomal RNA is filed under the name uncultured bacterium. Its description in RNAcentral is "bacterial SSU rRNA". It matches the Rfam family "Bacterial small subunit ribosomal RNA", at positions 79 to 911 of the family's 1533-position model. The record is from RNAcentral.
CUUGCCCUUCUGAUCAGUGGCGAACGGGUGAGUAACACGUGAGUAACCUGCCCUUCACUCUGGGAUAACGCUGGGAAACUGGUGCUAAUACUGGAUACGACCUGAACAGGCAUCUGUAUCGGGUGGAAAGAUUUAUUGGUGGAGGAUGGACUCGCGGCCUAUCAGCUUGUUGGUGAGGUAAUGGCUCACCAAGGCGACGACGGGUAGCCGGCCUGAGAGGGCGAUCGGCCACACUGGGACUGAGACACGGCCCAGACUCCUACGGGAGGCAGCAGUGGGGAAUAUUGCACAAUGGGCGAAAGCCUGAUGCAGCGACGCCGCGUGAGGGAUGAAGGCCUUCGGGUUGUAAACCUCUUUCAGCAGGGAAGAAGCAGCUGGGUUUUCUCGGUUGUGACGGUACCUGCAGAAGAAGCACCGGCUAACUACGUGCCAGCAGCCGCGGUAAUACGUAGGGUGCAAGCGUUGUCCGGAAUUAUUGGGCGUAAAGAGCUUGUAGGCGGUUUGUCGCGUCUGCUGUGAAAUUUCGGGGCUCAACCCCGAACUUGCAGUGGGUACGGGCAGACUAGAGUGUGGUAGGGGAGACUGGAAUUCCUGGUGUAGCGGUGAAAUGCGCAGAUAUCAGGAGGAACACCGAUGGCGAAGGCAGGUCUCUGGGCCACUACUGACGCUGAGAAGCGAAAGCAUGGGGAGCGAACAGGAUUAGAUACCCUGGUAGUCCAUGCCGUAAACGUUGGGAACUAGGUGUGGGCCUCAUUCCACGAGGUCCGUGCCGCAGCUAACGCAUUAAGUUCCCCGCCUGGGGAGUACGGCCGCAAGGCUAAAACUCAAAGGAAUU